Molecule: RNase P RNA, 337 nt
Filed under: Tissierellia bacterium
Lineage: Bacteria; Bacillati; Bacillota; Tissierellia
Description: RNase P RNA component class A
Rfam family: Bacterial RNase P class A
About the family: Ribonuclease P (RNase P) is a ubiquitous endoribonuclease, found in archaea, bacteria and eukarya as well as chloroplasts and mitochondria. Its best characterised activity is the generation of mature 5'-ends of tRNAs by cleaving the 5'-leader elements of precursor-tRNAs.
Source: RNAcentral
UGAGUAAGAAGUAUGGUCGCAUGUCGUAGACAUGAGGAAAGUCCGUGCUCCAAAGAGCGAGAUGCUGGAUAACACCCAGUGGGGGCAACCCUAAGGAAAGUGCAACAGAAAUAGACCGCCAUUUUUAUGGUAAGGAUGGAAAGGCGAGGUAAGAGCUCACCAGCGUUUAGGCGACUAAGCGGCUCUGUAAACCCCAUCAGGAGCAAGACCAAAAGGGAGCCUAGUAAGGUAGCUGCUCGUUACCGCUCCAAAGGUAGGUUGCAUGAGCCUAUUGGCAACAAUAGGCCUAGAUAGAUGGCCAUAACAACAGAACACGGCUUACUAACUCACUCACACA